GAUCCUGGCUCAGGAUGAACGCUAGCUACAGGCUUAACACAUGCAAGUCGAGGGGCAUCAGGAAGAAAGCUUGCUUUCUUUGCUGGCGACCGGCGCACGGGUGAGUAACACGUAUCCAACCUGCCCUUUACUCGGGGAUAGCCUUUCGAAAGAAAGAUUAAUACCCGAUAGCAUAAUGAUUCCGCAUGGUUUCAUUAUUAAAGGAUUCCGGUAAAGGAUGGGGAUGCGUUCCAUUAGGUUGUUGGUUGGGGUAACGGG
This 258-nucleotide ribosomal RNA is filed under the name uncultured bacterium. RNAcentral's name for it is "partial 16S ribosomal RNA". It matches the Rfam family "Bacterial small subunit ribosomal RNA", at positions 15 to 264 of the family's 1533-position model. The record is from RNAcentral.